GUACAGCGAUCUCCCCUACUGUUCGAUUGUGUUCUGACAGGGGUACAGUCCCCCCCCCUAAAGAAACACUCCGGUCAGAUUGCUGAACGGGAGCCAGUCGGCUUUUUCAGUCAUGGCCCUUUUUUCGGUCAUGCCCCUUUGAACCAGCUGCCGUACUCAUGGGCUGAAUGUCUCUGUUGCCGCCCGAUAUUUGGCCCAUAUGUACGGAGCUUAAGACUUCUGUUUUCACGUUAUCACUCAUCUUUACGGAGCUCAAGCACGGUCCAUUGUUGUCAUGGGGGAAUCCAUUCAGCAGUUGCUAGAGUGCUAUAUGUAGCAGCACUGGUGAUAUGCAACAAAGGAGAGAAAUUCCAAUUCUGUACCUAUUUUUCUGAACAUAUAUGCAAUAUGUUAAACAUGGUUGAGCUUUUUUAAUUCUGGGUUUUUUCAAAAGCAAAUAUAAUGUCUAAUGAUUUUUCGAGGCGGUGGAGAGUUUUCUUUUGCAUUACCAGAAAUCAUGCUGCAUUAUUUUUGCAGCUAGGUGGCACUAAUAAUUGGUCGGUCUUGUUGCUGACCUCUUAGUCCCAGUCCCCCACAUAUCUUCAUAUCCGUCAGUUUACUUGUUGAUGUGUUCCUUGCAUUUUCAUCAUACUUUAUUUUGUAUGACAUCAUGUGUUCUUGAGUAUGCACAGCCCAAUGUGCGCCAUAGAAUGUAAGGUGAGUUGACUCCCAGAGUGUUGACGACAGGUGUCUGUUAACACAUUGGAAGCUGUCUUGUUUACUGUGGGAGUUGCACUGAAAUUCGAAGCAGAGGCUCCUGUACCCCCUCCUCUGUAUGUUCUUAGCAGAGUAUUAGGGGUGGGGUACUGCAAUGCAUCCUCCUGCAAGAGCCCUACUAGGGCUGGAGUAAUCUGACCUGUAGCUAUAUUGAGGCUGACAGCAUAAAGGAUCAGUGACAGAAGCUCUGCACGUAUUGAAGCUCUUCACAUCCUUCUUCUGUCCAGACAGGUGGAGAACAUAGAAAACGUUGGCAUAAACCCCAAAGCGCAGAACGACGUUUCCAAGGUCUUCAACGGAGUGAACCAUCCCUCUUUUGACGCA
This is a long non-coding RNA of Rana temporaria (common frog), 1080 nucleotides long. RefSeq lists it as uncharacterized. The transcript is spliced from 3 exons. The record is from RefSeq and is a predicted model, not a curated record. NCBI's taxonomy places the organism in Eukaryota, Metazoa, Chordata, Amphibia, Anura, Ranidae.